UACUGGUUGAUCCUGAGUCUUGUCUCUUAAGCCAUGCAUGUCUAAGUAUAAGCAAUUACAGUGAAACUGCGAAUGGCUCAUUAAAUCAGUUAUCGUUUUUGAUAGUUCCUUAUUACUACAUGGUAUAACUGUGGUAUUCUAGAGCUAAACAUGCUUAACCCUUGAAGAGAUGUAUUUAUUAGAUAAAAAAUCAAUGUCUUCGGACUCUUGAUGAUUCAUAAUAACUUUUCGAAUCGGGCGAUGGUUUUCAAAUUUCUGCCUAUCAACUUUCGAUGUAGGAUAGUGGCAUGGUUUCAACGGGUAACGGGGAAUAAGGGUUCGAUUCCGAGGGAGCCUGAGAAACGGCUACCACAUCAAGGAAGGCAGCAGGCGCGCUCCUAAUUGGGAGGUAGUGCAGGGCCCAUUCGUCUUGUAAUUGGAAUGAGUACAAUGUAAAUAGAGGAACAAUUGGAGGGCAAGUCUGGUGCCAGCGCCCGCGGUAAUUCCAGCUCAAUAGCGUAUAUUAAAGUUGUUGCAGUUAAAAAGCUCGUAGUUGAACUUUGGGCCCGGUUGGCCGGUCCGAUUUUUUCGUGUACUGGAUUUCCAACGGGGCCUUUCCUUCUGGCUAACCUUGAGUCCUUGUGGCUCUUGAACCAGGUUUACUUUGAAAAAAUUA
RNAcentral lists this ribosomal RNA (655 nucleotides) under Saccharomyces cerevisiae (brewer's yeast). Its description in RNAcentral is "SSU rRNA". It matches the Rfam family "Eukaryotic small subunit ribosomal RNA", at positions 1 to 768 of the family's 1831-position model. The record is from RNAcentral. Lineage: Eukaryota; Fungi; Ascomycota; Saccharomycetes; Saccharomycetales; Saccharomycetaceae.